GUCUAUAGCCAUACCACUCUGAACACAUCUGAUCUUACCUAAUCUUGGAAGCUAAGAACGGUCAGGCCUGGUUAGUACCUGGAUAGGAGAUUAUAAUCUAAGGUUGUUUUUUUUU
This is a ribosomal RNA of Capra hircus (goat), 115 nucleotides long. The record is from Ensembl. Lineage: Eukaryota; Metazoa; Chordata; Mammalia; Artiodactyla; Bovidae.